RNAcentral lists this ribosomal RNA (253 nucleotides) under uncultured bacterium. RNAcentral describes it as "partial 16S ribosomal RNA". It matches the Rfam family "Bacterial small subunit ribosomal RNA", at positions 524 to 776 of the family's 1533-position model. The record is from RNAcentral.
UACGUAGGUGACAAGCGUUGUCCGGAUUUACUGGGCGUAAAGAGCGCGCAGGCGGUCGAUCAAGUCGAGUGUGAAAGCCCCCGGCUCAACUGGGGAGGGUCAUUCGAUACUGAUCGACUCGAAGGCAGGAGAGGGUAGUGGAAUUCCCGGUGUAGUGGUGAAAUGCGUAGAUAUCGGGAGGAACACCAGUGGCGAAGGCGACUACCUGGCCUGUUCUUGACGCUGAGGCGCGAAAGCUAGGGGGGCAAACGGG